UGGCAUUCGAGUGGCGGACGGGUGAGUAACGCGUGGGUAACCUGCCUUACACAGGGGGAUAACACCUGGAAACAGGUGCUAAUACCGCAUAAGCGCACAGGGCCGCAUGGCCCGGUGUGAAAAACUCCGGUGGUGUAAGAUGGACCCGCGUCUGAUUAGCUUGUUGGCGGGGUAGGGGCCCACCAAGGCGACGAUCAGUAGCCGGCCUGAGAGGGUGGACGGCCACAUUGGGACUGAGACACGGCCCAAACUCCUACGGAAGGCAGCAG
Molecule: ribosomal RNA, 269 nt
Filed under: uncultured bacterium
Lineage: Bacteria
Description: partial 16S ribosomal RNA
Rfam family: Bacterial small subunit ribosomal RNA
Source: RNAcentral